UACGGAGGGAGCUAGCGUUGUUCGGAAUUACUGGGCGUAAAGCGCACGUAGGCGGCUUUGUAAGUUAGAGGUGAAAGCCCGGAGCUCAACUCCGGAACUGCCUUUAAGACUGCAUCGCUUGAAUCCAGGAGAGGUGAGUGGAAUUCCGAGUGUAGAGGUGAAAUUCGUAGAUAUUCGGAAGAACACCAGUGGCGAAGGCGGCUCACUGGUCCGGUACUGACGCUGAGGUGCGAAAGCGUGGGGAGCAAACAGG
Molecule: ribosomal RNA, 253 nt
Filed under: uncultured bacterium
Lineage: Bacteria
Description: partial 16S ribosomal RNA
Rfam family: Bacterial small subunit ribosomal RNA
Source: RNAcentral